This 424-nucleotide long non-coding RNA is filed under the name Elaeis guineensis (African oil palm). RNAcentral describes it as "long non-coding RNA (EGUI_LNC018348)". The record is from RNAcentral. Lineage: Eukaryota; Viridiplantae; Streptophyta; Magnoliopsida; Arecales; Arecaceae.
UUCUCAUAUAUGAUUUUUAUCGCAGAGAUCUCUCGAUAUGUUAUAUAUCAUUAAUAGAGGGAACUCAAGUAGCAGCUUUUAUAAGGACCACAACAUAACAUUUGGUUGAAAAGGCUGAGUACCAGAAUACCACAACAAAUCUUAUCAAUUAAUCAGUUUAAUUUUACCCUCCUUUUCUUCAUAUAUACUUGUGUAGAUUAAAUCAAUUUAGGGAAAACAAGGGAGAAGAGAAACCUAGCUAGAGAUGUAGGCUAUUAUGAGAUAUUCCAAAGCAUCCAUAUGCGGAAGGAACAUAUGCUAAUUGACUAAUUACAUAUAUGAGGACUUCUCCCGCAUUAUCUCCUUACCCUAUGUGGACAAUAGAUCUGGAUGCCCUGCAACAGCAGCUGAAGUAGGUACCCACUUCUGGAACAUCCACCCAUAC